AGGGUAGCCUAGUGGUCAUGGCAUCUGCCCGGUAAGCGGAAGGUCGUGGGAUCGAUUCCCAUUAUUAUUA
Molecule: non-coding RNA, 70 nt
Organism: Cordylochernes scorpioides
Lineage: Eukaryota; Metazoa; Arthropoda; Arachnida; Pseudoscorpiones; Chernetidae
Source: the annotation of a GenBank genome assembly